UGCCAGCCGCCGCGGUAAUACGGAGGGUGCAAGCGUUAAUCGGAAUUACUGGGCGUAAAGGGUUCGUAGGCGGCCACUUAAGUCAGGGGUGAAAUCCCACGGCCCAACCGUGGAACGGCCUCUGAUACUGAGUGGCUUGAGUGUGCUAGGGGUAAGCGGAACGUGUAGUGUAGCGGUGAAAUGCGUAGAUAUUACACGGAAGGCCGGAGGCGAAGGCGGCUUACUGGGGCACAACUGACGCUGAGGAACGAAAGCUAGGGUAGCGAACGGGAUUAGAUA
Molecule: ribosomal RNA, 279 nt
Filed under: uncultured bacterium
Lineage: Bacteria
Description: partial 16S ribosomal RNA
Rfam family: Bacterial small subunit ribosomal RNA
Source: RNAcentral